GCCGGGCGCAGUGGCGCGCGCCUGUAAUCCACGUUACCGGGAGGCUGAGGCUGGAGGAGCGCUUGAGUUCGGGGGUUCUGGACUACAGCGCGCUAUGCUGAGCGGGUGUCCGUACUAAGAUCGGUGUCGAUAUGGUGCUCCUGAGGGAGCUUUGGGCCACCAGGUCGUCUAAGGAGGGGUGAACCGGCCCAGGUCGGAAACGGAGCAGGUCAAAACCCCCGUGCCGAUCAGUCGUGGGAGCGCACCUGUGAAUAGACGCUGUAGUGCAGCCUGAGCGAGAUAGUGGGACCCAGCCUUUU
Unclassified non-coding RNA from Electrophorus electricus (electric eel), 299 nucleotides. It matches the Rfam family "Metazoan signal recognition particle RNA". Rfam says of the family: The signal recognition particle (SRP) is a universally conserved ribonucleoprotein. It is involved in the co-translational targeting of proteins to membranes. NCBI's taxonomy places the organism in Eukaryota, Metazoa, Chordata, Actinopteri, Gymnotiformes, Gymnotidae. The record is from Ensembl.